RNAcentral lists this ribosomal RNA (480 nucleotides) under uncultured Flavobacterium sp. RNAcentral describes it as "bacterial SSU rRNA". It matches the Rfam family "Bacterial small subunit ribosomal RNA", at positions 8 to 492 of the family's 1533-position model. The record is from RNAcentral. Lineage: Bacteria; Pseudomonadati; Bacteroidota; Flavobacteriia; Flavobacteriales; Flavobacteriaceae.
AGAGUUUGAUCCUGGCUCAGGAUGAACGCUAGCGGCAGGCUUAACACAUGCAAGUCGAGGGGUAUAAUAGCAAUAUUAGAGACCGGCGCACGGGUGCGUAACGCGUAUGCAAUCUACCUUUUGCAGAGGGAUAGCCCAGAGAAAUUUGGAUUAAUACCUCAUAGUAUUAUGAUGUGGCAUCACAUUAUAAUUAAAGUCACAACAGCAAAAGAUGAGCAUGCGUCCCAUUAGCUAGUUGGUAAGGUAACGGCUUACCAAGGCAACGAUGGGUAGGGGUCCUGAGAGGGAGAUCCCCCACACUGGUACUGAGACACGGACCAGACUCCUACGGGAGGCAGCAGUGAGGAAUAUUGGACAAUGGGCGCAAGCCUGAUCCAGCCAUGCCGCGUGCAGGAUGAAGCAUCUAUGGUGUGUAAACUGCUUUUGCACAGGAAGAAACACUACCUCGUGAGGUAGCUUGACGGUACUGGAGAAUAAGAU